AUCAUCUUCAUUCUCUUCCUUCUAAUCGGAGCUAAGCUACUGUUACCAUCUCUUCAGAUUCUUCCAUUCAACGUCUCGCUCCCACAACCAUUAGUCAUAAAUCAUCAGCUUAACUUCAACAGUCCUCCGUCAUCCAAAUGUUAGAAAAAAAAAAAAACAGUCCCACGUCAUGAACUCGAUUCCCUAUAUAUAUUAUCUCUUUCCUUUCUUCACCUUCACCAAACUCAAGAAAACCAAAUAAUCACAACAUCAGUGGUGAUCUCUCCAGAACCACGCCCUAUUGGUUUCUGUAACCAUGCCGUCCAGGAACAGCUCCACCAUCCCUCUAUGUGUCUCUGCCAUGUUACCUAGCUCAAUCAUAAAGUGGGAUUACAGGAGGAUGAAGCUCACUUAUGAGAAGCUUAGGGGAAACAAGACGUCACUUCUUGAUCAUUACUACGCCAGCUGGAAAGGAGUCUGCUGGGGUUUCAUGGAAGAGAAAAUGUCUCAUAGAUAUGAUGAAAUGAUAAUUCCGAACAAGCAAGUUAUCUUUUUGUUACCUUCCAUUAUAUUCAUCUGCAGUGUUCCUUCAUCUGUGUAAGUGCGUAAUAGUUUUUAAGGAAAUGAUAGAAGACUCAAGUACAUUGGUAAAAAAAAACAGAGAAAGGUUCCUCAUAUUGACUUCUUUCUUGAGACUAGUUUCAAAUGUUUUGUCGAUCCCA
Molecule: long non-coding RNA, 701 nt
Organism: Brassica oleracea var. oleracea
Lineage: Eukaryota; Viridiplantae; Streptophyta; Magnoliopsida; Brassicales; Brassicaceae
Exons: 3
Source: RefSeq, a predicted model, not a curated record